This 132-nucleotide small RNA is filed under the name Acidobacteriota bacterium. RNAcentral describes it as "Acidobacteria bacterium c-di-AMP sequence". It matches the Rfam family "c-di-AMP riboswitch aptamer (ydaO/yuaA leader)". From Rfam's summary of the family: This family represents a conserved RNA structure found upstream of the ydaO and yuaA genes in Bacillus subtilis and related genes in other bacteria. The record is from RNAcentral. Lineage: Bacteria; Pseudomonadati; Acidobacteriota.
UAAUUUUUCUAGCCGAACUCCACCCAGGAGACGGGGGACCCAAGUUUUUGGGGCGCAGUCCCGCAAUGCGGGACGGAGUACUUUCAAGCUCUAGCCCGUCAGCUAACCCCGCAGGCCAAUUUGAGAGCCUCC